AGAAACUUGUUUUAAUUUCUGCAGUUAAGGAGGUAGCUCUGGUAAUGAUUGACGCUGUUGCAGUUACUCAUGUCAGGCCAUCUCAGCUUAGAAACUUGUAUAAUUUCUGCAGAAUUCUGGUGAGAUGAUAGAGGCUUGGUUUGUCGAUUUCUAAAUUGCAGUCCACAUAAAGCUGUUUGUAACAUGUGAAUCAAUGGGGGGUCCAUACCAGAGUAAUUGAAAGUGGAGAACUUGUUGAGUUAAAAAAGUUGAGUGGAAGUCAAAAAGAAGAAAGCACAGCCCCGGGGAUGGGCAUGGUGUUU
This 302-nucleotide unclassified non-coding RNA is filed under the name Hevea brasiliensis (rubber tree). The record is from RNAcentral. Lineage: Eukaryota; Viridiplantae; Streptophyta; Magnoliopsida; Malpighiales; Euphorbiaceae.